CCUACGGGUGGCUGCAGUGGGGAAUAUUGGUCAAUGGGCGCGAGCCUGAACCAGCCAAGUAGCGUGAAGGAUGACUGCCCUACGGGUUGUAAACUUCUUUUAUAGAGGAAUAAAGUGAGGCACGUGUGCCUUUUUGUAUGUACUUUAUGAAUGAGGAUCGGCUAACUCCGUGCCAGCAGCCGCGGGAAUACGGAGGAUCCGAGCGUUAUCCGGAUUUAUUGGGUGUAAAGGGAGCGUAGAUGGGUUGUUAAGUCAGUUGUGAAAGUUUGCGGCUCAACCGUAAAAUUGCAAUUGAUACUGGCAGGCUUGAGUACAGGUGAGGUAGGUGGAAUUCGUGGUGUAGCGGUGAAAUGCUUAGAUAUCACGAAGAACUCCGAUGGCGAAGGCAGCUUACUAAACUGCCACUGACAUUGAUGCUCGAAAGUGUGGGUAUCAAACAGGAUUAGAUACCCGUGUAGUC
This 460-nucleotide ribosomal RNA is filed under the name uncultured bacterium. Its description in RNAcentral is "partial 16S ribosomal RNA". It matches the Rfam family "Bacterial small subunit ribosomal RNA", at positions 338 to 795 of the family's 1533-position model. The record is from RNAcentral.